Non-coding RNA from Roridomyces roridus, 84 nucleotides. The record is from the annotation of a GenBank genome assembly. NCBI's taxonomy places the organism in Eukaryota, Fungi, Basidiomycota, Agaricomycetes, Agaricales, Mycenaceae.
GGUUCGAUGGUGUAGUUGGUUUAUCACUUCUGCUUUACAUCACGUUAUCGCAGGCGGUCGUCGGUUCGAGCCCGGCUCGAAUCA